GACGAACGCUGGCGGCGUGCCUAAUACAUGCAAGUUGAGCGCUGAAGGUUGGUACUUGUACCAACUGGAUGAGCAGCGAACGGGUGAGUAACGCGUGGGGAAUCUGCCUUUGAGCGGGGGACAACAUUUGGAAACGAAUGCUAAUACCGCAUAAAAACUUUAAACACAAGUUUUAAGUUUGAAAGAUGCACUUGCAUCACUCAAAGAUGAUCCCGCGUUGUAUUAGCUAGUUGGUGAGGUAAAGGCUCACCAAGGCGAUGAUACAUAGCCGACCUGAGAGGGUGAUCGGCCACAUUGGGACUGAGACACGGCCCACACUCCUACGGGAGGCAGCAGUAGGGAAUCUUCGGCAAUGGACGAAAGUCUGACCGAGCAACGCGGCGUGAGUGAAGGAGGUUUUCGGAUCGUAAAAAUCUGUUGGUAGAGAAGAACGUUGGUGAGAGUGGAAAGCUCAUCAAGUGACGGUAACUAACCAGAAAGGGACGGCUAACUACGUG
RNAcentral lists this ribosomal RNA (497 nucleotides) under uncultured bacterium. Its description in RNAcentral is "partial 16S ribosomal RNA". It matches the Rfam family "Bacterial small subunit ribosomal RNA", at positions 28 to 507 of the family's 1533-position model. The record is from RNAcentral.